UAGGGAAUCUUCGGCAAUGGACGAAAGUCUGACCGAGCAACGCCGCGUGAGUGUAGAAGGUUUUCGGAUCGUAAAACUCUGUUGUUAGAGAAGAACAAGGACGUUAGUAACUGAACGUCCCCUGACGGUAUCUAACCAGAAAGCCACGGCUAACUACGUGCCAGCAGCCGCGGUAAUACGUAGGUGGCAAGCGUUGUCCGGAUUUAUUGGGCGUAAAGCGAGCGCAGGCGGUUUCUUAAGUCUGAUGUGAAAGCCCCCGGCUCAACCGGGGAGGGUCAUUGGAAACUGGGAGGCUUGAGUGCAGAAGAGGAGAGUGGAAUUCCAUGUGUAGCGGUGAAAUGCGUAGAUAUAUGGAGGAACACCAGUGGCGAAGGCGGCUCUCUGGUCUGUAACUGACGCUGAGGCUCGAAAGCGUGGGGAGCAAACAGG
Molecule: ribosomal RNA, 429 nt
Filed under: Chloroflexota bacterium
Lineage: Bacteria; Bacillati; Chloroflexota
Description: Chloroflexi bacterium partial 16S ribosomal RNA
Rfam family: Bacterial small subunit ribosomal RNA
Source: RNAcentral